Long non-coding RNA from Ictalurus punctatus (channel catfish), 2041 nucleotides. Lineage: Eukaryota; Metazoa; Chordata; Actinopteri; Siluriformes; Ictaluridae. The record is from Ensembl.
CUGACAAGCGCGAUUUCCAUUGCGCUCGCCCCUGCGCCGCUAUUUACUUUGAAACCCGAUUAGAACGGACCGUCUAUUGUCGCUAAAGAGGAAGAAACCCCGGUUAGACCGGGUGAAAAGCUAAGGGCGAGCAGAACGCAUGUGAAAUAAAUAGUGGCGCGGGGGUGAAAGGGGCUCGAGUCGAACCCCUGAAAGUUUUGGGACGCUUUGUUCAAAGCUGUAGUCUUAAUUAGGCUACGAACAUUGGCUGAUCCCCGAUAUGUCAACGGUUAUACAUGCAGCAAACAUUUCACCGCCCUUAAUGAUUCCAUCACCAAGUAAUCCAAAUCACACCGAUCAACAAAAUGAUCAGCAAUAAAAUGCACACAUUCGUCGCGUGCAGUUCUCAAUGAACGGCGCAAAAGACGAAGUAAAAGUACCGGGAUGCGCGCGAGCUGCUGCCAGUUUGGCCACUGUAAUAGCGGCGUCUAUAUAAUGGGAUGCGAUAUCAUGACGGAGAGAGGGAAUAAAAGGUCGAUAGCUUAGACACAGAGGGCGAAGCCUAAUGUUUUGACUCUUAAAAGGUGAUUCUGAAUGUUAUUGUUUACCGGUGUUGUUUUUAUUGAUCCAAUAAGGGCGGAAGUUCCUGCUGUAAUGGCAAAGCAAACCGGCUUUUUUUGUGCAUGAAUACUGAAGCUCGCGCUUCACUACAGGCUUUACAGGCUUAUAAUGUCUGGAUCGGGCUGCCAUCUAGCGUACAGUAGCUAGACAAUUACAGGGAAAUAGGAGUGAAUAAUUUAUUGUUAGCGGGUAUUUUACAAAAUAUUGCUUAGGACUUUUUUUUUCUUUUUCUUUUUUUUGCAUUUAAUGAGGUUUGCUUUAUUGAUGUAUUUUUGUUAAUGAAAAAAAAGAAGCAUUUUGACUGUAUUUCCGGCAAUUUAGUUAAACCUUAAUGCUUUUGGUAAAAUAAGAUAUUCAGAUCAUUUGGCGUAAGUUCGAUUAUUAGUUCGGAAGCAUUGUUUUUAUUCAAUUAAUUGUUUAUUUUUUUUAGGCUUUAUGAUUUAUAUUGUGUAAACACCGAUAUUUAGACGAUUGUAAAUAUAAUACCUCACGUAAACACGUAUACGGACAAAAUUCCAGCGAAGCAUUAUUUCGGAAGUUAGACAUUAAUGAGGCUCAAAACAUCGCUGUUUUUGGUGAAAGAGUGUUUGCGCAUCGUCUCUUCUGUUCCGCAAACGCACCGCGCUGCCCUCUGUCCUCGGCACACAAAAAAAGGUGAAACGAAGGGGAUUAAAUCAGACAAAGGGCAAACUUCUGUAAGUGUAUCAUCAAGAUUUUACUCCACAGACUGGGAAGAGAGCGAGGGAGAGGCGAGAGAGAGGGAGAGGGGCAGCGAAUGGGAACGCAAGGCGAAGGCAGGGAAACAGCGAGAGAGAGAGAGGGAGAAGAGAAGAAGGAGAAGUGGACACCGCUGCAAACACACGCCGCUACACUGCAACACCGUUCCCUGGAAUUCUGCUCGUUUCGCACAGGUUUGGCUAACAGUGAAACUUGAGCAGCUGCAGGGUCACGGGGAGCCUGGAGCCUUUCCCAGGGAACUCGGGGCAGAAGGCGGGGGACAACCUGGACGGGGUGCCAUCACAUCGCAGGGCACAAUCACACACCUUCACACACUAUGGACAAUUUGGAAAUGCCAAUCUGCAUUUGAACUGGGGGAGGAAACCUGGAGUACCUGGAGGAAACCCCUGAAGUACAGGGAAAAGAUGGAAACUUCGCAUGCAGGGCUGAAGCGGAAUGUGAACCCCCAACCUCAGUAGGUGCGAGACAACCACUAAGCCACCAUGCUCACCAUGAUCUUGUGUUAGUAGGUGUACUUCAGAAGAUUUUUCCAUCUACCACCACUUACCUGCUGGAAAACGUGGUUCACUAGUACAACCAGCUCAGCCUGUGUUUUGGCAGCUGGUCAUACUAAGCUGGACUUGAAUACUUACCCUAGACAUCUACGCAGACCCGUUUCAUUACCAGACAUAUUAGCAGACACUCAAACUGAAAUUCUGACCUU